AACGCAUAUUGCGCUCUUUGGUAUUCCGAAGAGCAUGCUUGUUUGAGUAUCAGUAAACACCUCAAAGCCUUUUUUUGUUAAGAGACUUUGGACUUGAGCAAUCCCAACACUUCUUUUUUUUAGAAGGGGCGGGUUGCUUGAAAUGCAGGUGCAGCUGGACAUUCUCCUGAGCUAAAAGCAUAUUCAUUUAGUCCCGUCAAACGGAUUAUUACUUUUUGCUGCAGCUAAUAUAAAGGGAGUUUGACCAUUUUGGCUGACUGAUGCAGGAUUUUCACAAGAGUCUUCAAACCACUCUUGUUAAACUCGAUCUCAAAUCAAGUAAGACUACCCGCUGAACUUAA
This 341-nucleotide unclassified non-coding RNA is filed under the name uncultured Mortierella. RNAcentral's name for it is "sequence contains ITS2". The record is from RNAcentral. Lineage: Eukaryota; Fungi; Mortierellomycota; Mortierellomycetes; Mortierellales; Mortierellaceae.